UGAGUCCAUGUUUCAUAAGAUUCUUUGGUUCCUUCAGUCCUUCAUAGUCAGAAUGGAGUUGUGGAUAUCCGCAGUCUUAGUUCCGGACAGUGCAAUCUAGGUAUUAAAUGUUAAAACGGCUUGCCAUAGACGGUGUCUCUCCCUUCCCCUUUUUCCUUUUUAGGUGUUUUGCACUCUGUGGCUGCUGCAACAGCUGCAGCUGAUUAAGAUCAGCUGCUGGAUUGAAGGCACGUGCGGUCCCAGCCAAUCAGCCUCCACCACCACGACCACAAAAGCCGACGCCACUCGUCCUCCUGUGCUGGAUCGUGAAAAGCCACUAUUAUUGAUCAGCAGCAACUUCUGAAUGCCGUCUGAGAUCGCUCCAUUCUCCAUUUGGAUUCCUCCGAUGCCACACGGCAACCACCUACCGUUCCCUCCAGCGUCCAUGUCAGCCAUCCCCUCCGUCACAGUCAACCCCAGACUUCUCCACGGCCGGGACCCUGUCCAAGCAUCCAGAGUCCUUUGAGUUUUUCGUUUACGUCUAGUUAUCUUUCGAGUUUAGUGUCUCAUUCUGAGUUGUACCAGCCUUAAGCUGCGCUUUGAGUUUAUCCUUGCUUCUCGCUUGCGUAUUGAGCUAAGUUUUGAUUUUGAGUGAAAUUCUGUUUAAUCUUUUGAGUUAUCAGCCAUUGGCUUUGCUUUUUGUUAUCCUUUUGGUUUUGUUUAAGUUUACAGUGCUUCAGUUCUUACCGGAGAAAUACUUACCGUAAGUCUGGGUUGUCAUUCGUCUUCCUAGCCACGAGUAGCAGCAGCGAGUCUUCUACCACUCUGUAGUUCCGCUUAGCCUCUGUCUGCUAACUGAAUCCUGUGUUGAUUAUUAUAUUUUUGGCAAUAAAGCCUCUAAAUCUUA
This is a long non-coding RNA of Acanthochromis polyacanthus (spiny chromis), 886 nucleotides long. RefSeq lists it as uncharacterized. The record is from RefSeq and is a predicted model, not a curated record. NCBI's taxonomy places the organism in Eukaryota, Metazoa, Chordata, Actinopteri, Pomacentridae. The transcript has 2 exons.